Molecule: long non-coding RNA, 1298 nt
Filed under: Gossypium barbadense (sea-island cotton)
Lineage: Eukaryota; Viridiplantae; Streptophyta; Magnoliopsida; Malvales; Malvaceae
Description: long non-coding RNA (GBAR_LNC007815)
Source: RNAcentral
CCCAUUGUUUUUCAAACAAAAAGAAGCAGAAUGCUUCUUCUUCCCUGCUCCCUUUCCAUUUUUCUUUGCUAGGAAUUCAACCUAGCUUGCGCCACCCUGGAGGAUCAUCGGUGCCACGCACCUCCACCCCACCGCCGGUUCACGGAUCAAGACCAGGUAAGCCCUCCUUUCUCUUUUAAAACUUUGUUUGAUUAUUUUCAAAAAUAAGGAAAAAAAAAGAAAGGAAAAAAAAUGUAGAUGCACAACAAAGGCUAAAAACCUUGAAAAAAAAAUUAUAAUUACCUUUGAUUCUAUUGGAUGGUAUUAAAAGUUUACUCAGAAAUCUGGUAUAUUUCUCUGUAUUUCUCUUGAUUCCCCCGAAAAAAAACUCUCCUUUAUACCGUAUUUUCAAUGGCUUUUUGUAGCCUAGAAAUAAAACAAGUCUCCUCCUGUUACUAUGCUUCUUGUUGUUUUCUGUUGAAGAUAUAGCUGCGAAAAUCUCGGAAUCGAGAGGCGUGGCGGAGUAGGACGCUGGUGAGAGGCGUGCGGCGCGAGGACUCAUGCAACAAUUUUGAGUCUCUGUUCGUUUGGGCCUUGUUUGGGUCUAUUUUUGUGCCUAUUUUCCUUGUAUUGGAUCAUGGCAUGAAAUUGGUCCUACAGUUACAUUGCUACCAAUUGAGUUUUUUUUUUUAUUAUUUCAAAAUGUCACACCGACCAACUUAACAAAAAAAGAAAUAAUAGUGUUAACAAUUGAAUUUAAAUUUUUUAAAAUGUAAAAAGUAGAUCUAUUAAAUUCCUGCAAAUAAAAGUAUAUGGACUAAAUUCUAAAUUUAUGAAAAGUAUAAGGACUUAUUGUAUAUUUUUAAACUUAUAGAUGUAAGUGUUAAAAUAAAAAUAUGAUAUGACAUAUUGAGAGAAAGCCUAUCUGAAAUUGAUUCACUCACAUGCAUCCAAAUAUAUGAAGCAAAUUGAGAAAAUGAUAACAAAUAAGAAAAAGAAAAUGUAUUUCCUUCCCCCAAAUGCUUCAAAGCUCCAUUGAAAUUUGAAAGGACUAUGUCUUCAUUUGUUUUUAAUGGUUGAAAUGAAAACUACUAAAUAUGGAAGCAAAGCUCGUGGUUGGUCCUAAAAGUUCGAGGAGGGGUUGACUAAAACUCUAAAAAAAUUUCAGGGAUUUAAUAGAAUUUAAAAAAAAAUUUGACCCAAAAUUUUCAAAAUUAGAUUAGUGGUUGAAUCGAUUAGGUCACAAAUUAGAUUAAACAAAUUAUUAAAAAUUAAUAAAAAAUAAAAAAUUCAGUUCGACUGUUUUUUGUCUGGUUCAA